GAUGAACGCUGGCGGCGUGCCUAAUACAUGCAAGUCGAGCGAACAGACGAGGAGCUUGCUCCUCUGACGUUAGCGGCGGACGGGUGAGUAACACGUGGAUAACCUACCUAUAAGACUGGGAUAACUUCGGGAAACCGGAGCUAAUACCGGAUAAUAUAUUGAACCGCAUGGUUCAAUAGUGAAAGACGGUUUUGCUGUCACUUAUAGAUGGAUCCGCGCCGCAUUAGCUAGUUGGUAAGGUAACGGCUUACCAAGGCAACGAUGCGUAGCCGACCUGAGAGGGUGAUCGGCCACACUGGAACUGAGACACGGGCCAGACUCCUACGGGAGGCAGCAGUAGGGAAUCUUCCGCAAUGGGCGAAAGCCUGACGGAGCAACGCCGCGUGAGUGAUGAAGGUCUUCGGAUCGUAAAACUCUGUUAUUAGGGAAGAACAAAUGUGUAGGUAACUAUGCACGUCUUGACGGUACCGAAACAGAAAGCCACGGCUAACUACGU
This 496-nucleotide ribosomal RNA is filed under the name uncultured bacterium. RNAcentral describes it as "partial 16S ribosomal RNA". It matches the Rfam family "Bacterial small subunit ribosomal RNA", at positions 28 to 506 of the family's 1533-position model. The record is from RNAcentral.